GAGGCAGUUAGCAACGGCUUCCAGGAAGGCUGCUCUCGUGUAUCCUCGCCUAUAGCUCCUCGGUGAUCCCUUUUCGUCUUGCUCCUUGGUCUAUCGGGGUAGAAAUAAGGGCUUUGAGACGGCCUUCACAAGGGAGGGACAGAACAACUUCUGGUUCAGCCGAGGACCGGGGAGCUAUCAAAUAAGAGACAUGAGAUGCAGCCAUUGU
Etheostoma spectabile (orangethroat darter) is the source of this 208-nucleotide long non-coding RNA. RefSeq lists it as uncharacterized. The record is from RefSeq and is a predicted model, not a curated record. NCBI's taxonomy places the organism in Eukaryota, Metazoa, Chordata, Actinopteri, Perciformes, Percidae. The transcript has 3 exons.